RNAcentral lists this microRNA precursor (169 nucleotides) under Medicago truncatula (barrel medic). RNAcentral describes it as "MIR2680 microRNA precursor family". It matches the Rfam family "MIR2680 microRNA precursor family". The record is from Rfam by way of RNAcentral. Lineage: Eukaryota; Viridiplantae; Streptophyta; Magnoliopsida; Fabales; Fabaceae.
UUAGGAUCUAGACCUGGCAUAUCUUCAUACGACCAUGCAAAAAUAUCCGGGUAUUCUCGGAGGAGCUGGAUGAUCUUCUUUUUAACCCCUUCCUCUAGAGCAGCACCGACCUUGAUUUCUCGCCUUGUUCUCCUCGGUACCUAUGUUGAUAAGUUCAAUCUCUUCCUGG